GGGUGCGAUCAUACCAGCACUAAUGCACCGGAUCCCAUCAGAACUCCGAAGUUAAGCGUGCUUGGGCGAGGGUAGUACUAGGAUGGGUGACCUCCUGGGAAGUCCUCGUGUUGCACCCC
This 119-nucleotide ribosomal RNA is filed under the name Eucalyptus grandis. The record is from RNAcentral. Lineage: Eukaryota; Viridiplantae; Streptophyta; Magnoliopsida; Myrtales; Myrtaceae.